AGGUAUAAGUAUUCCUCCGAUCUGAGAUCACCAUGGUGACUUGCAAGUAACUCACUAUGCUUUGGCACCAGACUAUCUGAAUUUUUAAUUCAAGAUCGAAAAAUUUUUGGGCACAGUCAAGUACUUGUGAAGUCGGUGCAUGAGUUAAGAUAGAAUUGACCACUCUAAGAGAUUGGAGAGAAUACUUUGUAUUUCAAUUUAGUAAAAUCUUGGCC
Molecule: long non-coding RNA, 215 nt
Filed under: Elaeis guineensis (African oil palm)
Lineage: Eukaryota; Viridiplantae; Streptophyta; Magnoliopsida; Arecales; Arecaceae
Description: long non-coding RNA (EGUI_LNC057846)
Source: RNAcentral